This 645-nucleotide ribosomal RNA is filed under the name Bacillus stratosphericus. RNAcentral describes it as "bacterial SSU rRNA". It matches the Rfam family "Bacterial small subunit ribosomal RNA", at positions 55 to 684 of the family's 1533-position model. Lineage: Bacteria; Bacillati; Bacillota; Bacilli; Caryophanales; Bacillaceae. The record is from RNAcentral.
AUGCAGUCGAGCGGACAGAAGGGAGCUUGCUCCCGGAUGUUAGCGGCGGACGGGUGAGUAACACGUGGGUAACCUGCCUGUAAGACUGGGAUAACUCCGGGAAACCGGAGCUAAUACCGGAUAGUUCCUUGAACCGCAUGGUUCAAGGAUGAAAGACGGUUUCGGCUGUCACUUACAGAUGGACCCGCGGCGCAUUAGCUAGUUGGUGAGGUAACGGCUCACCAAGGCGACGAUGCGUAGCCGACCUGAGAGGGUGAUCGGCCACACUGGGACUGAGACACGGCCCAGACUCCUACGGGAGGCAGCAGUAGGGAAUCUUCCGCAAUGGACGAAAGUCUGACGGAGCAACGCCGCGUGAGUGAUGAAGGUUUUCGGAUCGUAAAGCUCUGUUGUUAGGGAAGAACAAGUGCAAGAGUAACUGCUUGCACCUUGACGGUACCUAACCAGAAAGCCACGGCUAACUACGUGCCAGCAGCCGCGGUAAUACGUAGGUGGCAAGCGUUGUCCGGAAUUAUUGGGCGUAAAGGGCUCGCAGGCGGUUUCUUAAGUCUGAUGUGAAAGCCCCCGGCUCAACCGGGGAGGGUCAUUGGAAACUGGGAAACUUGAGUGCAGAAGAGGAGAGUGGAAUUCCACGUGUAGCGGUGA